AUAAACAUUUAAGACAUGAGACACGCUAAUUCCAUCUCUUAAAAUGUGUCUAUAGGUGAGACGCUUUGCCUUGAUUGGAGGGACCACACUGGAGGUGCGAGUCCGCCGUGUAAUGGCUUAUGCCAUCACAAACGAGCUGGCCUCAGUACUAAACUGGGCAGGGAAAAAACAAAGGACCAGACGAAGCAAAAAAGGGCAUUUAAAGAGACAGCGCUGUGCAGAUGCAUAUUUGAUGGCCUGGCGCAGCAGGUAGGGGCGAACUCUAUGUCUGAGUUGGUCUUUGCUCAAGCAGUCCAGAAAUGGCUCAGAUAUGCUCCAGAUCGUACAGGUGGCGCGCAAGACGCACAUCAUCCAUCCCCAUCCCGGAGUAAAUAAUAAAAAGUGACGUGAAACAUAGAAAUGUAAAUAGGAAACUUUGUCUUUUAAUAAAGUAUUUUGCAAAUGAUACAUGUCUAUUGACCUUUUUUGUUUUUUUGUUUUUUUUCAAUAAAAAGCAACUGUACGAAAGAGGUGGAAAAUCAAUACCAUAGCUCAACAGUGUUUCAAUAUCAGAAUCUGACAUUGUUUCAAUGUCAACAGUGUUAGAAAAUAUAACGUAGAAUCAAUGUCAGGUUUCAACAUUGAUUCAACAUCAAAACCUGACGUUGUUUCAACGUUAAAAAUGGGUGCAAGAGUGAUGUUGGGUCAACGUCACACUUCAACGUUGCUUCAAUGACGUCGCCUGAUAUUGACUCAACAUUGUUUCAAUGUUUCCUUGCUAUCUGGGAAAUAAUGGCCCUGUUAUGAUGUCACAGGUGAGGCCGGAGACAGAUAUCUGCUCAGAGUGAACAGAGCCAGGUCAAUAAAGACAAACUGGCAGUAAAUGUUAGGACUGUCUUCCCACCAACCAGGUCUCCCAGUUUGUACUCACUGACUGGUGUGAAGAUCCUCAGCUGUUUGUGGCGUCGCUGGCGUGGUAGCUAAUGUUGACCGUUUCCUUUCAAAAAGGACAAAGUCUGAGCAGCUCUCCUUCGGCUCAUCCCCUCACACUCACUCUCUUUCUCACAUACACAUAAACAGAUGGGAGUGUGUGACAUACCGAAGUCCACAUUAAUUAUUGACGUGCUUUUAUGGCUCAAUAAUGCACAGUUGGGUCCAUAUUUAUUUUGAAACUGUGAGGUUUAGUUUUUUUUUACCUGCUUACUGAAACACAUUUCAAUUAUAGUUAUAUAAUG
This 1214-nucleotide long non-coding RNA is filed under the name Oreochromis niloticus (Nile tilapia). RNAcentral's name for it is "lncRNA (ENSONIG00000032861.1)". Lineage: Eukaryota; Metazoa; Chordata; Actinopteri; Cichliformes; Cichlidae. The record is from RNAcentral.